Molecule: ribosomal RNA, 694 nt
Filed under: uncultured archaeon
Lineage: Archaea
Description: bacterial SSU rRNA
Rfam family: Archaeal small subunit ribosomal RNA
Source: RNAcentral
CACUACUUCUGGAAUGGGUAAUGACUUAAAUCUAUAUGGCCCCUGGAUUGGACUGCGGCCGAUCAGGCUGUUGGUGAGGUAAUGGCCCACCAAACCUGUAACCGGUACGGGCUCUGAGAGGAGGAGCCCGGAGAUGGGCACUGAGACAAGGGCCCAGGCCCUAUGGGGCGCAGCAGGCGCGAAACCUCUGCAAUAGGCGAAAGCCUGACAGGGUUACUCUGAGUGAUUUCCGUUAAGGAGAUCUUUUGGCACCUCUAAAAAUGGUGCAGAAUAAGGGGUGGGCAAGUCUGGUGUCAGCCGCCGCGGUAAUACCAGCACCCCGAGUGGUCGGGACGUUUAUUGGGCCUAAAGCAUCCGUAGCCGGUUCUACAAGUCUUCCGUUAAAUCCACCUGCUUAACAGAUGGGCUGCGGAAGAUACUAUGGAGCUAGGAGGCGGGAGAGGCAAGCGGUACUCGAUGGGUAGGGGUAAAAUCCGUUGAUCCAUUGAAGACCACCAGUGGCGAAGGCGGCUUGCCAGAACGCGCUCGACGGUGAGGGAUGAAAGCUGGGGGAGCAAACCGGAUUAGAUACCCGGGUAGUCCCAGCUGUAAACGAUGCAGACUCGGUGAUGAAUUGGCUUCAUGCCAAUUCAGUGCCGCAGGGAAGCCGUCAAGUUUGCCGCCUGGGGAGUACGGUCGCAAGACUGAAACUUAA